This is a transfer RNA of Paraphaeosphaeria sporulosa, 97 nucleotides long. It matches the Rfam family "tRNA". Rfam says of the family: Transfer RNA (tRNA) molecules are approximately 80 nucleotides in length. NCBI's taxonomy places the organism in Eukaryota, Fungi, Ascomycota, Dothideomycetes, Pleosporales, Didymosphaeriaceae. The record is from Rfam.
UCCGAUAUGGUCUAGUGGCUAGGAUACAUCGCUCUCAUCUUCCCAAGCAAUUGGAACAUGCGCCGAUGUGGCCCGGGUUCGAUUCCCGGUGUCGGAA